CCUACGGGAGGCAGCAGUGGGGAAUAUUGGGCAAUGGGCGAAAGCCUGACCCAGCAACGCCGCGUGAAGGAAGAAGGCCUUCGGGUUGUAAACUUCUUUUGACAGGGAAGAGCAGAAGACGGUACCUGUCGAAUAAGCCACGGCUAACUACGUGCCAGCAGCCGCGGUAACACGUAGGUGGCAAGCGUUGUCCGGAGUUACUGGGUGUAAAGGGCGUGUAGCCGGGCUGACAAGUCAGAUGUGAAAUCCCGGGGCUCAACCCCCGAACUGCAUUUGAAACUGUUGGUCUUGAGUAUCGGAGAGGCAGGCGGAAUUCCAAGUGUAGCGGUGAAAUGCGUAGAUAUUAGGAGGAACACCAGUGGCGAAGGCAGCCUGCUGGGCGACAACUGACGGUGAGGCGCGAAAGCGUGGGGAGCAAACAGGAUUAGAUACCCGGGUAGUC
RNAcentral lists this ribosomal RNA (442 nucleotides) under uncultured bacterium. Its description in RNAcentral is "partial 16S ribosomal RNA". It matches the Rfam family "Bacterial small subunit ribosomal RNA", at positions 338 to 795 of the family's 1533-position model. The record is from RNAcentral.